CAGCCGCCGCGGGAAUACGGAGGGUGCAAGCGUUAAUCGGAAUUACUGGGCGUAAAGCGCACGCAGGCGGUUUGUUAAGUCAGAUGUGAAAUCCCCGAGCUUAACUUGGGAACUGCAUUUGAAACUGGCAAGCCAGAGUCUUGUAGAGGGGGGUAGAAUUCCAGGUGUAGCGGUGAAAUGCGUAGAGAUCUGGAGGAAUACCGGUGGCGAAGGCGGCCCCCUGGACAAAGACUGACGCUCAGGUGCGAAAGCGUGGGGAGCAAACAGGAUUAGAUACCCCGGUAGUCCCUGUCUCUUAUAC
Molecule: ribosomal RNA, 301 nt
Filed under: uncultured bacterium
Lineage: Bacteria
Description: partial 16S ribosomal RNA
Rfam family: Bacterial small subunit ribosomal RNA
Source: RNAcentral